AGUGUGAUAACUGGAUCAAAUUGUGAUUCCAUUCCAAGUUUUUGGAGGAAUCUCCAUACUGCUUUCUAGAGUGGUUGUACCAAUCUGUAAUCCCACCAGCAAU
This 103-nucleotide microRNA precursor is filed under the name Marmota monax (woodchuck). Lineage: Eukaryota; Metazoa; Chordata; Mammalia; Rodentia; Sciuridae. The record is from RNAcentral.